RNAcentral lists this ribosomal RNA (495 nucleotides) under uncultured Chloroflexota bacterium. Its description in RNAcentral is "bacterial SSU rRNA". It matches the Rfam family "Bacterial small subunit ribosomal RNA", at positions 8 to 524 of the family's 1533-position model. Lineage: Bacteria; Bacillati; Chloroflexota. The record is from RNAcentral.
AGAGUUUGAUUAUGGCUCAGGAUGAACGCUGGCGGCGUGCCUAACACAUGCAAGUCGCGGGAGAAGCACCUUCGGGUGCGGCAACCGGCGCACGGGUGAGUAACACGUAGCUGAUCUACCCCUUAGAAGUGGAUAACCAUUGGAAACAGUGGCUAAUACACCAUAAGCUCACGGUCUUUAGAGGGUUGUGAGAAAAGUUCAGGCGCUAAGGGAUGAGGCUGCGAGCCAUCAGCUAGUUGGUGCGGUAACGGCGUACCAAGGCGACGACGGCUAGGGGACCUGAGAGGGUGACCCCCCACACUGGAACUGAGAAACGGUCCAGACUUCUACGGAAGGCAGCAGUGAGGAAUAUUGCACAAUGGGCGCAAGCCUGAUGCAGCGACGCCGCGUGGGUGAAGAAGGAUUUCGGUCUGUAAAGCCCUUUUCUGUGUGACGAGAAUGGACGGUAGCACAGGAAUAAGUCUCGGCUAACUACGUGCCAGCAGCCGCGGUAAU